This 253-nucleotide ribosomal RNA is filed under the name uncultured bacterium. RNAcentral describes it as "partial 16S ribosomal RNA". It matches the Rfam family "Bacterial small subunit ribosomal RNA", at positions 524 to 776 of the family's 1533-position model. The record is from RNAcentral.
UACGUAGGGUGCAGGCGUUAAUCGGAAUUACUGGGCGUAAAGCGUGCGCAGGCGGCUCCUUAAGUCAGAUGUGAAAGCCCCGGGCUUAACCUGGGAACUGCGUUUGAAACUGGGGAGCUAGAGUGUAGAAGAGGGGGGUGGAAUUCCAGGUGUAGCGGUGAAAUGCGUAGAGAUCUGGAGGAACACCGAUGGCGAAGGCAGCCCCCUGGGCUAACACUGACGCUCAUGCACGAAAGCGUGGGGAGCAAACAGG